GACGAACGCUGGCGGCGUGCUUAACACAUGCAAGUCGAACGGAAAGGCCCUGCUUUUGUGCGUUGCUCGAUUGGCUAACUGGUGAGUAGCACGUGAGUAACCUGCCCUUCACUUUCGGAUAACUUCAGAAAACUGGUGCUAAUACCGAAUAGGAGCUCCUUCUGCAUUGUGGGCGUUGGAAAGUUUCGGCGGUUGGGGAUGGACUCGCGGCUUAUCAACUUGUUGGUGGGGUAGUGGCUUACCAAGGCUUUGACGGGUAGCCGGACUGAGAGGGUGACCGGACACAUUGGGACUGAGCUACGGCCCAGACUACUACGGGAGGCAGCAGUGCGGAAUAUUGCACAAUGGGAGGAAGCCUGAUGCAGCAACGCCGCGUGCGGGAUGACGGCCUUCGGGUUGUAAACCGAUUUCGCCUGUGACGAAGCGUGAGUGACGGUAAUGGGUAAAGAAGCACCGGCUAACUACGUG
This 468-nucleotide ribosomal RNA is filed under the name uncultured bacterium. Its description in RNAcentral is "partial 16S ribosomal RNA". It matches the Rfam family "Bacterial small subunit ribosomal RNA", at positions 28 to 507 of the family's 1533-position model. The record is from RNAcentral.